This 2004-nucleotide ribosomal RNA is filed under the name Triticum aestivum (bread wheat). RNAcentral's name for it is "partial small subunit ribosomal RNA". Lineage: Eukaryota; Viridiplantae; Streptophyta; Magnoliopsida; Poales; Poaceae. The record is from RNAcentral.
AUGAAAGAGGAGGAGAAGGAGAAGGCGCCGCCGCACCUGCAUGCCCAUGGCGCCGCCGAAGCCGCCCCUCCCCCUAGGGCGCGACUCGGAGAUGAACAUGGAUCUGCUUCUGUGUAUCGUGUUGGUGCCCUGGAGAAGGCGAUUGCAGGGUUUGCGCAGAGGGAAACAGAGGCCGUGGUCAAUCCUACUGUCGGGAGUUUCUUUGUUUCUCUUGACGAGGCUUAUGAAUUCUACAACAUUUAUUCUUGGGAAUCUGGUUUCGGAGUUAGGUAUGGAGCGAGUAGUAUGGAUUCUCAUGGAACUAAAUGCAUACAGCAAUUUGUUUGCGCGUGUGAGGGUAAACCGUCCAAGGACAGCGAUUCUUUUCGUCGGUGUGAAUGCAAAGCGUCAAUUCUUUUACUGAGAUCCAGAGACGGCGGAUGGCGUGUGUGUGAGCAUCAAGUUGGGCAUAACCAUCCACUUUCUAAGAUGUGUGCGCAGAGGUCAUCUUGGCAGUCUCAUAGUAGUAUUGACAAGAACACAAGGGGCUUGAUUCGUCAACUAAGGGAAAACAAUGUGCCACACAUUGAUGAUAAUGAUGCAAAGAAUCCGCUGUCUGAUGAUAUCCAGAAGACAGAGGAAACCUUUGCUAGGAUCAAAGCAAAGGAUCCAACAUUUGGUUAUACUGGUUUGCAGCUUGAUAGUAACUGGAGAGUAAGGCCAUUACUCUGGACCAGUGGCCAGAGCCUUCAGUACCAAUACUUUGGUAUCUUCGACACCACCUACAGGUCGGACAAGUACGGGACGCCGUUCGGCCUUUUUGUUGGAGUCAACAACAACUUUGAGACCAUAUUGCUUGGUGGGGUGCUGAUGAUAAACGAGAAAAUGGAGAGCUACAAAUGGGUGCUCAGUCAGUUCUUCCAAUUAAUGGGUAGGGAACACCCCAAAACUAUACUGACCGAUCGCUGCGAGGCAAUUGAGGAAGCCGUAUUGGAGGUACUGCCAUCCACCACACACAGAUGGUUCAAGUGGAAUGUGCUUCGCAGGGCAAAGGACUACCUUGGUUUCCAUUACACCAAAACAAGUAGCUUCCGAGUGGGGCUCCACAAAAUUCUGAACGACACGCUGACAGCUGAUGAGUUUGAGAGAGCAUGGGAGAUGCUGCUAGAGGAGCAUGGAUUGGAGAAUCAUCCAUUUCUGAAGGAGAUCUAUGAGGUGCGGCACAAGUGGGUCAAGGCAUACUUCAGCGACACGUUCUGUGCUACACUGACCAGCACACAAAAGAGCGAGAGCGCGAAACACUUUCUGAAACAACAUCAUGUUCCACGGGAUUGCUCUAUGGAGCUUUUCGCCCUACAGUACGAGAAACUGCGGUCCGAUCAACAACCAGACUAUGGGUUUCCGGAGCAGAGUACUACUAAGGAUGAGAUUGUUCUGAGAACAAAUCUACCAAUCGAGAAGCACGCCAGCGAUGUGUACACAAGACCGGUGUAUGAAAAGUUUGUGCAAACCAUACGUGAAUCCGAAUCCGAACCUUACGUGGUGGAGGCAGUCAUCCCCAACCUGAGGUACAUAGCACGGCGUCCAAGCAGUGAAACUAGGGAGAAAUGGUCUAGGGUGGAAUAUGAGGUGAAUGUUAGAGAAGACGGCGAAGCGUUCAUGUGCGUGUGCAAGCAAUUCGAGCACACGGGGAUGCUCUGCUGCCAUGCUGUCAAGGUGAUGAUCCACCUGGGCGUGCGUGAAAUACCAAGGCUACACGUCAUGCCACGCUGGACAGCCAAGCCUCUCCAAUGCCAGAUGCACUGCCGCGGCGAACCUCGGACGGACACGUGCCAGCAAUGCAGGCACUCCGUGCUGCAUGACCAGUUCUUAGACCUAGCGCGCCUCGCCUGUGAGGAUGAUCGGUGCUACGAGGUUGUCAUGAGGGGCAUCGGCAAACUGAACAGAGAAUUGGCGGCAGCAGAGGCCGUGCCCCGCCGCCGCAGCACCAAGCCGGCGCCGUGGAAGCCGAGGAGGAAGCGUUGA